This 634-nucleotide ribosomal RNA is filed under the name Salmonella enterica. RNAcentral describes it as "bacterial SSU rRNA". It matches the Rfam family "Bacterial small subunit ribosomal RNA", at positions 1 to 624 of the family's 1533-position model. Lineage: Bacteria; Pseudomonadati; Pseudomonadota; Gammaproteobacteria; Enterobacterales; Enterobacteriaceae. The record is from RNAcentral.
AAAUUGAAGAGUUUGAUCAUGGCUCAGAUUGAACGCUGGCGGCAGGCCUAACACAUGCAAGUCGAACGGUAACAGGAAGCAGCUUGCUGCUUUGCUGACGAGUGGCGGACGGGUGAGUAAUGUCUGGGAAACUGCCUGAUGGAGGGGGAUAACUACUGGAAACGGUGGCUAAUACCGCAUAACGUCGCAAGACCAAAGAGGGGGACCUUCGGGCCUCUUGCCAUCAGAUGUGCCCAGAUGGGAUUAGCUUGUUGGUGAGGUAACGGCUCACCAAGGCGACGAUCCCUAGCUGGUCUGAGAGGAUGACCAGCCACACUGGAACUGAGACACGGUCCAGACUCCUACGGGAGGCAGCAGUGGGGAAUAUUGCACAAUGGGCGCAAGCCUGAUGCAGCCAUGCCGCGUGUAUGAAGAAGGCCUUCGGGUUGUAAAGUACUUUCAGCGGGGAGGAAGGUGUUGUGGUUAAUAACCACAGCAAUUGACGUUACCCGCAGAAGAAGCACCGGCUAACUCCGUGCCAGCAGCCGCGGUAAUACGGAGGGUGCAAGCGUUAAUCGGAAUUACUGGGCGUAAAGCGCACGCAGGCGGUCUGUCAAGUCGGAUGUGAAAUCCCCGGGCUCAACCUGGGAACUGC